UACGUAGGGCGCAAGCGUUGUCCGGAAUUAUUGGGCGUAAAGAGCUCGUAGGCGGUUUGUCGCGUCUGUCGUGAAAGCUUGGGGCUUAACCCCAAGUCUGCGGUGGAUACGGGCAGACUAGAGGCAGGUAGGGGAGAACGGAAUUCCCGGUGUAGCGGUGAAAUGCGCAGAUAUCGGGAGGAACACCGGUGGCGAAGGCGGCCUGCUGGGCUGUUGCUGACGCUGAGGCGCGACAGCGUGGGGAGCAAACAGG
RNAcentral lists this ribosomal RNA (253 nucleotides) under uncultured bacterium. Its description in RNAcentral is "partial 16S ribosomal RNA". It matches the Rfam family "Bacterial small subunit ribosomal RNA", at positions 524 to 776 of the family's 1533-position model. The record is from RNAcentral.